AUGCAAAGAUAAAAACGCAACAUACAUCUAUGAUGUAUUAGAGCCGGUAGGUAGCCCGGCCGUCCUAUGUAAAUAGGGUAAGUAACCUUCCCCUCCGGGUUGUCCAUUUUUUGUUCAAUA
This 120-nucleotide non-coding RNA is filed under the name uncultured Catonella sp. RNAcentral describes it as "yjdF RNA". It matches the Rfam family "azaaromatic riboswitch aptamer (yjdF RNA)". Lineage: Bacteria; Bacillati; Bacillota; Clostridia; Lachnospirales; Lachnospiraceae. The record is from RNAcentral.